RNAcentral lists this ribosomal RNA (253 nucleotides) under uncultured bacterium. RNAcentral describes it as "partial 16S ribosomal RNA". It matches the Rfam family "Bacterial small subunit ribosomal RNA", at positions 524 to 776 of the family's 1533-position model. The record is from RNAcentral.
UACGGGGGGGGCAAGCGUUGUUCGGAAUUACGGGGCGUAAAGGGCUCGUAGGUGGCCAACUAAGUCAGACGUGAAAUCCCUCGGCUUAACCGGGGAACUGCGUCUGAUACUGGAUGGCUUGAGUUUGGGAGAGGGACGCGGAAUUCCAGGUGUAGCGGUGAAAUGCGUAGAUAUCUGGAGGAACACCGGUGGCGAAGGCGGCGUCCUGGACCAACACUGACACUGAGGAGCGAAAGCCAGGGGAGCAAACGGG